CACACGGCGACGGCGAUGAACAGCGGACGCGUAAAUCAACUGAUCAAACUUAACCUUCAAUCCGGAGUCCUUGGCUGCGAUGGGUUGAGUUAAGUUGAAACGAAGGUCAGAUGCAAUUAGCCGUCCAAAAAGUAUUAGAGGGUCAUAGUUGUAAGAGUGUUGCCAGUCAUUUAGAAGUACCAAGAACUACUUUUUUGAAAAAGUGUAAAGAUCAAAACCAUGAUAAACCAAUCAAAGUUGUAGGUUUAAGCGCAUUUUUGGUGAUGAGCAAGAGAUUGCUUUUAAAAUCAACAUUGAAAGCAUGGAGAACAGCUUAAUGGGAUUAACAUCAUUUGAUGUCAGGAAACUAGCGUUUGAUUUUGCAGAAACAUUAGGAAUUCCUCAUCACUUUAAUCGUAUAAAAGGGCUCGCUGGCAAGGGCUGGAUGAACAACUUUUUAAAACACCAUGAUCUAUCUCUCAGAAAAAGUGCAAAUGUCAAUGAGAAAUAUUUUCUCUGUAUUUGGCAAAGCAUUUCGGAGGGGAUUCCGCUAGAUCUCCUCGAGUCGGCUUACUCUCUUUAAUUCUAUUUUAAUCUCUAUUUAUUAUAUCUCUUAAAUUCACAAAUCUUGCUCUCCGCGCAACAAAGCGCCAAUCCCUACUCUCUCGCACUCACGCACACUCGAUUCUCUCUCUCUCUCUCUCUCUCUCUCUCUCUCUCUCUCUCUCUCUCUCUCUCUAGCCCUUCCUUCAAUCAGAUGAACCCGAUAAUCAUCUUGUGUUAAGCGGUUAUAAAUUCCUUCGGCACGAUCGCGUAGGGCAGGAAGGUGGCGGCGUUGGUGCUUAUAUUCGUGAUACGUACACUGUAAAUAUUCUAGCGCAAUCUGAUAGCAAAUAUGAUAACACGCCCGAAUUCUUUGUUCUUGAAUUAAUAAACGGUUCAUUUAAAAUCCUUGUCGCUGUACUGUAUCGUCGACCUACUGCUGCCUAUCCCACUACCUUUGCAAACCACCUGACCAUGUAUCUUCCGCACUACCUGAAUGCAGUCGUCACCGGGGACUUCAAUAUAAAUAUGGAAACGCUAAAUUAUGCUUCUGACCCCUCACAGACUUGCCCUUGGCUGGCUGUCAGCAAAGCGCCGGCGUGAGUACCUUCUCGCUGUCCAGGCAUACAGUGCUCUUACGCGAAAAUCUCCGGCCUACCUUCUCUCACAAUUCUCCCUUUCGAGCUGCGAUUGCGAGAUACGUCGCUUGGCGCAAAACCCUCCGCCUGUGUGCCGCUCUACGCAGCCAGCACAGUAUCAGAAAAGGCCGGAGAUUCUUUUAAGGAGGAGGAGGUACUUUAAAACUGUGAGAAAACCUACAACUUUACUGUCUUUGAAGGCGACUUUAACAUCGAGUGCAAAUCAGAUUCAUCGACAAGGAAUACCCUCGCAGAUUCGCUGGCCAUCUGUCAACUAGUGCUAUUGCCGUUUAAUCCUACACAUCAUGACGAUAACUGCGAGCCCUCCACGAUCGACUAUAUCUGUGUCCCAGAUGCAGCCAAAGUUACUACGCAUUAGAAAAAACAGAUGCGCGAUAUAUCAAAUCACGAUGUCCUGGUAGCUACGCUGGAGCUUGCUGUUCCCGAUAUUGUUCCCGGGCCAAUAACGAGACGAUGCUAUAAAGGGUUCAAUAUCAACAAUCUUUUGCGUGACCUUGCUUGUGUGGAUUGGCAACCGCUAUAUGCAUCGCAGGAUGUUGGUUUCAAGGCACGAUACACUGAAAAAAACACAGCCAUUUUAACUGAACUCGCACCAGUAAUCCGUCAUUGUACGAAGA
This 1798-nucleotide long non-coding RNA is filed under the name Nasonia vitripennis (jewel wasp). RNAcentral's name for it is "uncharacterized LOC116416718". The record is from RNAcentral. Lineage: Eukaryota; Metazoa; Arthropoda; Insecta; Hymenoptera; Pteromalidae.